This 253-nucleotide ribosomal RNA is filed under the name uncultured bacterium. RNAcentral's name for it is "partial 16S ribosomal RNA". It matches the Rfam family "Bacterial small subunit ribosomal RNA", at positions 524 to 776 of the family's 1533-position model. The record is from RNAcentral.
UACGAAGGGGGCUAGCGUUGCUCGGAAUUACUGGGCGUAAAGGGAGCGUAGGCGGAUAUUUAAGUCGGGGGUGAAAGCCCAGGGCUCAACCGUGGAGGGUCAUUGGAAACUGGGGGACUUGAGUACAGAAGGGAAGAGUGGAAUUCCACGUGUAGCGGUGAAAUGCGUAGAGAUGUGGAGGAACACCAGUGGCGAAGGCGACUCUUUGGUCUGUAACUGACGCUGAGGCGCGAAAGCGUGGGGAGCAAACAGG